Molecule: ribosomal RNA, 510 nt
Filed under: uncultured bacterium
Lineage: Bacteria
Description: partial 16S ribosomal RNA
Rfam family: Bacterial small subunit ribosomal RNA
Source: RNAcentral
GACGAACGCUGGCGGCGUGCUUAACACAUGCAAGUCGAACGAAGAGCGACGGAAGCUUGCUUCUAUCAAUCUUAGUGGCGAACGGGUGAGUAACGCGUAAUCAACCUGCCCUUCAGAGGAGGACAACAGUUGGAAACGACUGCUAAUACCGCAUACGAUCUAAUCUCGGCAUCGAGGAUGGAUGAAAGGUGGCCUCUACAUGUAAGCUAUCACUGAAGGAGGGGAUUGCGUCUGAUUAGCUAGUUGGGGGGGUAACGGCCCACCAAGGCGAUGAUCAGUAGCCGGUCUGAGAGGAUGAACGGCCACAUUGGGACUGAGACACGGCCCAGACUCCUACGGGAGGCAGCAGUGGGGAAUCUUCCGCAAUGGACGAAAGUCUGACGGAGCAACGCCGCGUGAGUGAUGACGGCCUUCGGGUUGUAAAGCUCUGUUAAUCGGGACGAAAGGCCUUCUUGCGAAUAGUGAGAAGGAUUGACGGUACCGGAAUAGAAAGCCACGGCUAACUACGUG